This is a long non-coding RNA of Anopheles gambiae (African malaria mosquito), 1755 nucleotides long. RefSeq lists it as uncharacterized. NCBI's taxonomy places the organism in Eukaryota, Metazoa, Arthropoda, Insecta, Diptera, Culicidae. The transcript has 3 exons. The record is from RefSeq and is a predicted model, not a curated record.
AAUUCUAUUUUCAUUUUUCACGUAUCGGCCGACCGCGUUGAACUACAUUUCAACACCCUUCGAGGCUGAUUUCUGUAUCAUCGGCUGAUUUACCAUACUGCAUAUCUGAGAAUUGGCGCGUUGGCAAGUAUUGUUGUGCAAAUUAGCAAUCUAAUGGUUAUAUAAAGCAUUAUCUAUGAAUAUGAGACGUUCAGCACUGACGUAAACAGGUCAAGAAUGGUGGCCAAGAAUCGAUGCUGUAUGACAAACCGGUUCUAUAUCAUAUUUGAUUGCCCAACGAGGACCACCACAGCACAGUUUUAGUCACAACAAACAGGUAAUGUAGCAUAUUAAACGAUAAUCAUGUUUCAGGUACCAUUCUGUUAUGUGUGUUUCAAUAUUAUAAGAAAGCGUACAUUGGUGAGGUUCCGUGUAACGUCGUAUGUGAUGGCAAACAAUAUUUGAAGCAAUCGACUUUUUGCAUCGCUAUUUAUAUUUACCAUUAUUUAUCGCUGCUGUCCACCGAAUGCUGAACAGGAGUUGCAAAACCAAGUUGACUUUCUGAGAUCCGCACAUCCUUCCGGAUUGCUUACAUUGGAUCCAUCACAACAAGAAAGCAUUGACACGAAGCUUCCCUUUGCCGAGGAAGACUGCAAGAGCCCGGAACAGAUGAUGAUUGACGAAACCCAGUCCGUAUUUAAAGUAUUUGACUACUGAGAAAGCUAUUUCGAUUGCAACCUUAGUGCACGUAUAGGACAUCGAUGAUUUUAGGGCAAUAAAAUCUAGUGACAUUAUUCGAGAAUAGAUAUAAUUUGUACCACUUUGUCCCGGAGAUUCUAUCGUAGGAAAGUUUACGAUCUUAGCUGAACUAGUUAUUUGGUCGUCUCCUGAUUAGUCGGCUGAGCGAGGAUUGUUGAGCUAUCGAAGGAAAAUAUCGAUCCAAGAUGUAUCAUUCAACUACCAACCGCAGACACUAGUUCCGUUUUUUGUUUUCUAAGUUACUUUGCCUAGACUGGGCGAGAAACGGCAAUGGACGAAGAGUCCAUGCACCAUCUAAAAGAAUCUACGUUAGCUUAAUUCGUGGUGAUGAGCUAAGUGGUCUCCUGGGCCUUAUCAGUUGCCAGUGCAGGAGGUAACGAUUGUCGCAGCUUAUCAUUCGCUUCCGUCUGUUUAUCUUUCUCAUACAUGCGUACGUCGUCAAUGCUCAUUCCAUGCCACUCAUCGAUCCAAGCGAACGCUUGUCUGUGCCCCAGUAGAAGUACGUCCCGGAUACACUUGAUGGAAAAUGUGUAUAUGAUGAAAAUGUUAAUUGCACUCAUAUUAAGGAAAACAUCGUGACAACUUUAAAUACCUUUUGAAUGAAGUCCUCAACCCUUGUCUGGAGUCCCCAAACUUCGAAGGAAGCUUCCACCAAUUUGUAGGAACACAUCAUGGGCUCAUCAGUUUGACGCCAGCCCUCUACGAGCGGUCCGCGUCCGGUGAUGCGGGAUUUGAAGAAUUUGGGAUCCUCCUCUUUUUUGUAGUGCUUUUCAGAUGGCUCUUCAAACGCAAUGUCUACAUGAUCAACUAUCCGAUUUGCCAAAGUUUCUUCUGGCAGAUUCAAGCACUAGAAGGUAGUGGAAAAAUAUUAAUCGAAUGGAACAGAGAGAGCUUCGGCUAUGUUUAACAUACGUUUUCCGAAGUGCCAGCAUUGUCUUCAAACCGCGUCAGGAUACGAAUAUGUAAUUUUGGUAUAAACGAGCACUAAUGAAACAAAUGAGUUAGAUUCACAAUGCA